Molecule: long non-coding RNA, 7487 nt
Organism: Eriocheir sinensis (Chinese mitten crab)
Lineage: Eukaryota; Metazoa; Arthropoda; Malacostraca; Decapoda; Varunidae
Exons: 2
Source: RefSeq, a predicted model, not a curated record
AGAUGAAAAUUUGUAUUUAUACGGUUGGCUGUGGCUAACAUCCCAAAAGCCAAAUGUCCUUUUAUGCCACGACGGCUACACGUGAAUUUGAAGUCACCACCACCACCACCGAGUCCCCUAAGCCCUGCCCUGCCCUGCCCCCUCACCUCCCUCACCCUCUAACCACUGUAGGGUUUUAUGUAUAGGACUAUGCCUGGAACAUGGUGUGUGUGUGUGUAUAUUGCUCUCAUUUCUGAUGUACUUGUAAAGAAAGUAAUGAAUAUUGAAUAUUUUCAUGCCAUUUCAUUGAAAGAAAUGUUAGCCAAAGAAGAAUUUGAAGUGUGUCCAGCUGACAAUAUGAUAGUAGUUCCAGUUGGCAGUAAAUUCUGGAGACUUUAGAAAGAGGUCUGUCACCAAACACAGUUACUCCUGCCCUGCCCACACCCUACAAUUACUCCUGCCCUGCCCACACCUUACAAUUACUCCUGCCCUGCCCACACCCUACAAUUACUCCUGCCCUGCCCACACCCUACAAUUACUCCUGCCCUGCCCACACCCUACACCAUUGUAACACAAGACAGGAGCACCAAGGUGUUUGUGGUGGGUCUGCCAUCGCCCCACACCACCAGGGCAGGGGGUGGCACCAUUGGUGUGUGCUCCGUGUCACCAAAGGCCCCACACAACCACAAGAAAUGACUGGUGGUGCUAUAAAGCCAAAGGCAGGAGCGUGUUGCUGCCCACCUCUGGGUGCAUGUAAGCCUUCCAUGGGUGGCUUACUGUUGCACUACAUACUCCUUGAAAAGUACAGGUAGUGGUCAUGGUGGAGGAGUCCACCCAAUGGCCAUCUUCAGACUCUGAUUUACAUAGAACAUUUGUAUUUGUGUCAAAUUUGUGUGAAACUGCGAAGUUUCUUAAAUCUGUAUUGUUGCUUUCCUUCUCUAAUAAGAAGCAAGUUCUUCUAGUUUAGUUCUAUAAGAGUAUGAAUGGCUUUUAUGCAUUUAAGAUCUGAUCUACCACUUGUUCUAGUGUAAAAGUCUGUCUCCUGUGAAGGUCUGCGCCCCCAAGGCUAGGAUGUGUCUAGGCUAAAGGUGAGCCUCUAGGGAAGCACUCAUGGUACAGUUGGCUCCAUGGAGACUUGUCAUGGAAAAAAUCCUUCAAGAAAGUAAACUUUUCCACAAGUAUUGCAGCAGGUAACUGUUCUCUGCAUUACUUCUGCAUGGAGUAGCAUAGUUGGUGUAAUUACUGCUGCAAUAAUUCUUACAUUCCUUUUGUCUCUUCAGUAAGUAAAUGUAGGAAGCUGUUGGAACAAGGUUAGAGUGAUGGAGAUGGCAUUGCCUAUUGGGGAUAAAAACUGUAAUUGUGCUUAGAUUUAUUCAUACUUUCAGAAUUCUUCAAUAUAGGCUCAAGCUUUUUCCUUAUUUACUAGUUUUUGUUGCUUGAAUAAGAGUGAACUCUAUGAUUAUGUAUAAGUCUUACAUUUACUUAUUCCAGUCUGUGUCCUGCUAUCCUGUGUAUUGUAGGAGAAGAUUCUACAUUAUUGGGUCACCUUUCUCUGACUCCUAUAGAUAGAUAGAUAGACAGGUAGGUAGGUAGAUUAUUCCCAUGACUGCCAAAGAGGGUAUGGCUGAGUCCAACAGUGAUAUUGUAAAUCUUGCUUAGUAAUGUUUCAUUUGCUAGAUUUUUAUCAGCACAGUUCCCAGUCAGUGCUGUCUAUAUUGAUACUUUCCUUUUUUUAAGCCAAAAUUGCAUUUGUACAAAUUGUGAUUGAGCCUUCAGGGAGCACAAGGCCAGCAAGCACCAGCAUGGCCAAAACAAAGGGCCGUAUUACAAGUCCAAUGCGAGAAGUUUCGGGUCCCUACAGAGUCUGGGAUGAAUAACUCUGUACUUGACUUGUAAUGCGGCCCCUAAACUGAACUCUGUAGGGACCCAAAUUUCUUGGAUUUGACUUGUAAUGCGGCCCCUAAACUGAACUCUGUAGGGACUCAAAACUUCUCGGAUUUGACUUGUAAUGCGGCCCCUAAACUGAACUCUGUAGGGACCCCAAACUUCUCAGAUUCGACUUGUAAUGCGGCCCCUAAACUGAACUCUGUAGGGACCCAAAACUUCUUGGAUUCGACUCGUAAUGCGGCCCCUAAACUGAACUCUGUAGGGACCCAAAACUUCUUGGAUUCGACUUGUAAUGCGGCCCCUAAACUGAACUCUGUAGGGACUCAAAACUUCUCAGAUUCGACUUGUAAUGUGGCCCCUAAACUGAACUCUGUAGGGACCCAAAAUUUCUUGGAUUUGACUUGUAAUGCGGCCCCUAAACUGAACUCUGUAGGGACCCAAAAUUUCUUGGAUUUGACUUGUAAUGCGGCCCCUAAACUGAACUCUGUAGGGACCCAAAAUUUCUUGGAUUUGACUUGUAAUGCGGCCCCUAAACUGAACUCGGUAGGGACCCGAAACUUCUCGUAUUCGACUUGUAAUAUGUCCCAAAGACUGCCGACACCAGGCUCCAGCAAGUGUCCUCCGCCUCACAGCGGUGUGGCUCUGGGGCCCUGACUGCAUCACACAGCAGGAGCUCUGAGAAGGUGAAGGGGAGCCAAACCUCAGCAAUACUGUUCUUCCUUCUCAGUAUUGUCUUGUGGCCUUGUUGUUCUGAGGGGCCACUUAAGUAGUGUGUAGCAUUGGUUUACUUUCUGAUGCUUCUUGCAGUUAUAAGUCUAGUCAGCAGUGGCAAUGAGUUAUCUUAAAUUUGUUUUGCUUGAGGUAAAUCAAAAUUCCAUGACCAUAGAAAAUUAUAUAUGUAUAUACACACAGUUAGCUAUACAUCUCUAGUUUGCAGGAUUAAAGUUUCUGAUAUGAGCAGCAGCCAGCACAGAAUAUGUCAUCAUCCACAGGGCCUAGCCAGUGUCCUUUGUCUUGAGGGUCUUGUGAAGGCAUUGUGAUGAUGUAACAGGUCCUGAACUGCUUUACACAACAAUGGCUAAGGAUGUGUAGAUGACCCAAGCUUUAACAAUGGUGACAGAUUAUAUCCAGUGUCUUGUGAGGGUCUUGUGAAGGCAUUAUGAUGAUGGUCCUGAACUGCAUUACGCAACAACGACUAAGGAUAUUUAGAUGACCCAAGCUUUAACAGUGAUUAUAUCCAGUGUCCUCUGUCUUGUGAGGGUCUUGUGAAGGCAUUAUGAUGAGUCCUGAACUGCAUUACACAACAAUGACUGAGGAUUUAUAGAUGAGACAAACCUUAACAGUAGUUUCCUUGCAUUUAUGAACUUGUCACUUGCAGCAUUUUAAUUCUCAAGGGCUCAGUUUAAGGGAAAGUCUCCAAGGCCCGGGCAGAGCAAGUGAUAUAUAUAAUAGUAUAGUAGAGUUUUAUAAGUUCCCUGUAAACACAUUUUUCACAUAGAGGGAGAUUGAUAUUUAGUGGUGCAGUGUGUACAUGGAACUGUGUGUGUAGAAGGGUGAGUUGACCUUGUGGUAAGUGUGUGUGUGUGUGUGUGUGUGUGUGUGUGUGUGUGUGUGUGUGUGUGUGCUUUAUACAGUUUUAUAUUUUGUAACUGUGGUGAUCAUAAUUUUGACCACAAACCUUUAUAAUUAGCAUCAAUUUCUUUAUUAUUCCUCCUCCUCCUCCUCCUAUUAUCUCCUGGUCAUCAUAAGUGGUAGCAUGUCCCCAGUACCCACUCCGUGUACUUUGUGAGCUUUGAACACUCCUGAUUAUGUGAGUGCAUGUUUUUUGUUAUGAAGUGUUCAUGUCUACAGUUGCUUUGCUGCAUGACUCUCCCUUGUCGCUCCUUGGUGUGAUAAGGAAUACAUUUGUUUGCCCUGAAAGUAUAUUUUUGUGAAGAUGUUAUUUUAGCAUGAAGUAGAUGGGCUAAUGUACAGCAAAUCUUUGGAACUAAAAUUGGGUUUAUUGAAUCAUAUAAACCCUAAAUAAUUUUGUUGGAUAUAUAAAAGAUAGUUAAAGCAAAUAUAAUACACUUUUUAUUUGGUAAAUGGACUUUGAGCUUCCCCAGCCUGGUGGUCCUCUGGCUGGCUUGUUGAGUGAAGGUUUGCUGUACACCCAUGCAUUAUGGUUCACCUCAAAUAGAUGUGUUCAUAUAACUCCAGUGAUAGUUACUGAUGACAGGAAACAUGAUUGAAUUGUAGGGAAACAAGUCUACUUUCCUGCUGGGAUGUUUUCCCUUUUUAUUGAGCUAACUUCAGUGUGAACUUUCAUGUAGAGCUGAAACUUGCUUCUGUGCUGAUUAGGAUUUGUUGUCAAUGUGAGGCUGUGACCUGAUGGUGAAUGUUUUGUUUUGUUCUUGGUUAUACUCACUUGCUUUUAAGGACAUUAUGAGUUUGCAAGCAAUGAGACACACAGUGGUCACAGUUUGUAUAUGCUAUCUAGUACACCCAUACAAGGCUUUAGUAAUUUGCUAAGUUAUUCUAAUAUUAUUAAUGCUCUCAUAUUUGUUUGUAUUAAUGGCACACCUCUUGGUGUAAGUGAUUGGUUCUUGAAGUGGUAACUUGAUGGCCCUUGAGGCUCUGAGGCAGCAUUACACUUCUGGUGUGUGGAAAGGAAAGCAUUCAGUGAACCAUGUAAUGCUCCUCAACAUUUUUUUUAUAUCUAGCAAUAUAUUUCAAUUUUGUUUGUUAUGUUCCAUUGUCUGCCAAAACAAUUUUUGAAAUAAUUAAAACAGUCGGCACAAUUCUCAUCUUCACCUCUAUCAACUAGUACAUUGUGAACCUUUGGUUUUGCUUGUAUUUGAUGCAGUACCUUAUACAGAUUGGUGUUCAGGUAUAACAAGCUUUUGAGUAUAAUAGCUUGUGUCUGACCUGCUUGGUUCAUGAAGGAGAUGUGGGAUGCCCUCAGUGUCCCAGGUGGUGGCUGCGGUGUUUGUGUUCCAGUGGCACCGAUGAAAGCUCUGGUGGCCUGGCAGGAAGAGUGUGAUAGGAAUGCUUCAAGAAUGAUAUGUACUGCCUCUUGCUUAUUUAUCUAUUCAUCCCCUAUUUCUUUUACCUUAUAAUCAGCCUUGAUAAUAGUUUCCCAAUAUAUUUAUAUGAUUUGUGAAAGUUUCUAGAUCUGUGUUUAUUGUGAUGUUCAGUUUUGCUCCAUAAUAGUUUGUCUUGUGCCAGUCUAUACUUUAUAAUGUUUUUUCAUUGUCUUGUUUUGAUUUGUGAUAGUUUACAGAUUUGUUUUCUUUGUUAUUUCAUGCUUUGCACCAUUAAUGAAGAUCUCUGAAGUCUUUUGGAGCACUAACUUGUCUCGGUAGGGCCAUGAUUGUACCUGCAACACUGGUCAUUAUUCAUUUAGUUAUAUAUGUCAGGCCGGGGGCACCUUCCUCAAGCCAUUUUACAUUACAUUACCGUAUAUUGUUUAUUAUGCUGCUGACAGAGAGCGAUGUGGAUUCCAGUAGUUUUUAUGUUGGUUUCAGAGAGGUCAUUCACUCUGGGUGCAAUGCUGUCAUGUUGGUUCCUGUGACAUUGGUUACAAAUUCAUCCAUAGCUCAUAGAUGUUACUCCCAGUGUGAUCAGUCUCAUAUCAAGCUUUGUGAGUGCGCCUCUGCAACAUUGAUCGCAGAGGCACUUUGGUCGGGUGUUAGAGCAUCAAGUCUUGGAAUUAAUAAGCUGUGGUGAGGCUCUUCAAACCUCACUGCUGCUGUUUGAUGUCAGGAAGGGAUCUAUUUGUAAGCCCCAAGCAUCAAGCCCAACCUUUGAUUCUAGGGAGACAGCACAAGGAUAUAAGGAGACUACAAGCACUAGGAAGAAGUCAGUACUAUAAACAGCAUUGUACCCAGUGUGAAAUAGCCUUUAGUGUGAUGUGGCAAGGUUGGUCCAGCUGCAUUUCAUUGGUAGUGUGUGCAUGGGGCAACAUUGUAGAGAAGCGACCAGUCUGUAAUUCAUGAACGAAGGUUAUUGCCCUCAGUGACCUGUUUGCUUUGCCCAUUAUAUUGUGUUUCAACUGUGUGAUAAAUUUACAGUGCAAUGCUUGUCUUUGUUAUUAUUAUUAUUAUUAUUAUUAUUAUUAUCAUUAUCAUUAUCAUUAUUAUUAUUAUUAUUAUUAUUAUUAUUAUUAUUAUUAUUAUUAUUAUUAUUACAUGCAUUUUGUCAAAGAAUGAUGUUUUGAGGAGUUAUCAUGUAUCUUUUUAUUUGAAUUUUUCUUUAUCUUUUCCAUCAGCACCUUUUAUCUACAGGAGAUGCCUAUAACCAUUGUAUUUUUAUAUCUCAAUUCAUAACAAACUUUUAUAUAUAUAUAUAUAUAUAUAUAUAUAUAUAUAUAUAUAUAUAUAUAUAUAUAUAUAUAUAUAUAUAUAUAUAUAUAUAUAUAUAUAUAUAUAUAUAUAUAUACUGCUGAACCUUCAUAUAUAUUUCAUUUUUUUGGAGGGGGGGUUCGUACCUUGUACCGUGAAAGCUUGUGUGUAUAUAUAACUAGCUAGACACCUUAUUAUAGUCUUUUCAUCUUUAAAAAGUGUCUUAUAUAUAACAGUCUAAUCAUAAAGGACUCAUUGCAGUGACGACAGCCAAGUUAUAUAUAGGGGGCUUGUGGUGCAGCUGAUUAUAUCAUGUGUUGAAAGGCAGACUCACUGUGCCAUGCUACGUUGUGUAAAAUCAGUCUUGUGUAAACAGCAACUUUCUGAUGACUUGAUAUGCUUGAUUGAGGAACAGAUUUGAGCCUCUGGAAACAUAUUAGUUGUAGUUGCAGUAGUAGUAGUAGUAGUAGUAGUAGUUGUAACCUCCAAGGCUAUAUGUUUGAUUGAGAAAUAGAUUUUAAUCCCUAGAAAAAUAAUAGCAGUAGUAGUAGUAAAAGUAGUGGUAAUAGUAGUAAUAGUCAUAGUAGUAGUAGUAGUAGGAGGAGUACUAAACCUCUAAAAAGUCAUAUCCUUGAUAAAAAAAAAUGGUCUCUUAAACUGUGCCCAAAAAAUUAUAACUAAAACAACUUACACAAGUAUGCACGGCACAUGAGUUUAAUUAGACACCAUAAUUCAGCUGCACAGGAAAGAGUUGAAGCAAGUUGAUCAAUCAUGUUAAUAUGAAGUCAAUACAUUACAUGAUAAGAACAAUUUUAGUAGGUAAUGGCUAUCUAGUAAUACAGGUCUAUGAUAAAGUAGUUUUGGUUUACUACGUUCCCUGGAAAAAAAUUAUACGUAGCUUCAUAGUCUAAGGCUGAUAUUGUCAAACGCUUCUGCCUCUCACAUCAACUAUUUCCAAAGGCCAAAUAGGAGCUAAGUCGGGUUCUAAUAGGUGAUAUAUCAGGUUAGUGGUUCAGAAGAAGGGUCAAACUACCACCAGGGUCAUAAAACUACCCCGGGAAAUGCCCACAACUAUUUCCAAAGGCCAAAAAGGAGAUAAAUUGGGUUUUAAUGAGUGGUAUGUUAGGUUCGUGGUCCAGAAGAUGCCUCAAGCUACCACCAGGGUCAUAAAAAUACCCCGGGAAAUGCCCACAACUCCUACGAAAGCCUUCUAAUGAGUGGUAUCUUAGGUUUGUGGUCCAGAAGAAGGGUCAAACUACCACCAGGGUCAUAAAAAUACCCUGGGAAAUGCCCACAACU